RNAcentral lists this ribosomal RNA (501 nucleotides) under uncultured bacterium. RNAcentral describes it as "partial 16S ribosomal RNA". It matches the Rfam family "Bacterial small subunit ribosomal RNA", at positions 30 to 523 of the family's 1533-position model. The record is from RNAcentral.
AUUGAACGCUGGCGGCAGGCUUAACACAUGCAAGUCGAGCGGGGGAAGGUAGCUUGCUACCGGACCUAGCGGCGGACGGGUGAGUAAUGCUUAGGAAUCUGCCUAUUAGUGGGGGACAACAUCUCGAAAGGGAUGCUAAUACCGCAUACGUCCUAAGAGAGAAAGCAGGGGAUCUUCGGACCUUGCGCGAAUAGAAGAGCCUAAGUCGGAUUAGCUAGUUGGUGGGGUAAAAGCCUACCAAGGCGACGAUCUGUAGCGGGUCUGAGAGGAUGAUCCGCCACACUGGGACUGAGACACGGCCCAGACUCCUACGGGAGGCAGCAGUGGGGAAUAUUGGACAAUGGGGGGAACCCUGAUCCAGCCAUGCCGCGUGUGUGAAGAAGGCCUUAUGGUUGUAAAGCACUUUAAGCGAGGAGGAGGCUACUCUAGUUAAUACCUAGGGAUAGUGGACGUUACUCGCAGAAUAAGCACCGGCUAACUCUGUGCCAGCAGCCGCAGUAA